Haliotis rubra (blacklip abalone) is the source of this 356-nucleotide long non-coding RNA. RefSeq lists it as uncharacterized. NCBI's taxonomy places the organism in Eukaryota, Metazoa, Mollusca, Gastropoda, Lepetellida, Haliotidae. The record is from RefSeq and is a predicted model, not a curated record. The transcript is spliced from 2 exons.
UAUACCUGAAAGUUACCAGCCCACAACAUAAUUCACUGGCCCGAAAUUUGAAUGUAGAAACUAAACAAAAGAUUUCCAAGAGGUAAAAUACCAUAAAAAACAAAUGACCCCAUGAAAAAUCACUAGCCGGUUGGGCCGGUGACUCUGGAGAUUUACUGGCCAGACUCGAUUUUUACUAGUCACGGGCUAGUGGGCCAGUGGCUAUUUCGCACACUGCUCCUACGACAAGAAUGGUUGUUGAACACCAAUUCUAACCCGGAUCUUCAAGGGUCACAAGAAUGUACAAUAUAGGUACAUAAAUGUACAAGAAUGUACAAUAUAGGUACAUGAAUAUACAAUAUAGGUACAAGAAUGUA